AUUGAACGCUGGCGGCAGGCCUAACACAUGCAAGUCGAGCGGAUGAAGGGAGCUUGCUCCUGGAUUCAGCGGCGGACGGGUGAGUAAUGCCUAGGAAUCUGCCUGGUAGUGGGGGAUAACGUCCGGAAAUGGGCGCUAAUACCGCAUACGUCCUGAGGGAGAAAGUGGGGGAUCUUCGGACCUCACGCUAUCAGAUGAGCCUAGGUCGGAUUAGCCAGUUGGUGGGGUAAAGGCCUACCAAGGCGACGAUCCGUAACUGGUCUGAGAGGAUGAUCAGUCACACUGGAACUGAGACACGGUCCAGACUCCUACGGGAGGCAGCAGUGGGGAAUAUUGGACAAUGGGCGAAAGCCUGAUCCAGCCAUGCCGCGUGUGUGAAGAAGGUCUUCGGAUUGUAAAGCACUUUAAGUUGGGAGGAAGGGCAGUAAGUUAAUACCUUGCUGUUUUGACGUUACCAACAGAAUAAGCACCGGCUAACUUCGUG
RNAcentral lists this ribosomal RNA (484 nucleotides) under uncultured bacterium. RNAcentral's name for it is "partial 16S ribosomal RNA". It matches the Rfam family "Bacterial small subunit ribosomal RNA", at positions 30 to 507 of the family's 1533-position model. The record is from RNAcentral.